GCGAGGACCAGGUAAUGAUUAAUAGGGAUAGUUGGGGGCAUUAUAUUAAUUGUCAGAGGUGAAUCUUGGAUUAUGAAGAUUACUUCUGCGAAAGCAUCUGCCAAGGAUGUUUCAUUAAUCAAGAACGAAAGUUAGGGGAUCGAAGACGAUCAGAUACCGUCGUAGUCUUAACCAUAAACGAUGCCGACCAGCGAUUAGGAGACGUUGAAUACAAAACACCACCAUGCGCAUUGCGGUCGUCUUUGGUGUCGCUCACAAGGCGGCAUCGGGACGGCUUAGCUCGCAUGGCACCGG
This 294-nucleotide ribosomal RNA is filed under the name Acanthamoeba sp. K8. Its description in RNAcentral is "partial 18S ribosomal RNA". The stretch from base 1 to 251 matches the Rfam family "Eukaryotic small subunit ribosomal RNA", at positions 851 to 1116 of the family's 1831-position model. Lineage: Eukaryota; Discosea; Longamoebia; Acanthamoebidae. The record is from RNAcentral.